Panonychus citri (citrus red mite) is the source of this 1484-nucleotide long non-coding RNA. RefSeq lists it as uncharacterized. Lineage: Eukaryota; Metazoa; Arthropoda; Arachnida; Trombidiformes; Tetranychidae. The record is from RefSeq and is a predicted model, not a curated record. The transcript has 3 exons.
AAAAACGGCUCGUUACCAACGGGAACACUGAUUGGUUAGUAAGGUGAACUUGAUGAUUGUUAACAAACAAUUAAUCUAAUUUGAUUUGAUCAGUUGGUUGAUUCUCUUAUUAACAGUUGUCUUCAUCUUUUAGCCAACACCCAAAAGUUAAUUACAAUGGUUGUUAACAACAAUUUAUAAAUCAUCUUAACAGUUAAUCUUCAAUCUUAAAUAAACAACCAAUUGAAACCAUGUGAGUCUAUAUGAGAGAUCAAAUUGAAUUUUUAAUUCCAACGGUUAAUCAGUUUUAUUGUUUUUCCAUUUGUAUUUUUUUUUUCCUCUUAAUUGUUGUUAAUCUUUAAUUGUGAUAUCGUAAUAAUGAUCAAAGGUUACUGGCUUGUUAAGUGUUUCUUUCCUCCAUUGGAAUUGAUUUUCCGCCAUUAAUAUGAUUAAUCAAAAGUUCAUCUUAUUGAAUCGCCAUUUUGUUUUCUUUUUAUUUGUUUUCUUUUCCAAUUUUGUUUUUCUUUAAUUAAUUUGAUCAAUUUGAUUAACACAUUUCCCUUUAAUUGAUUGUCUACAAUUAUCAUUCGUCCAAGAGAUUAUCAACUGAUUGUGAUUGUGAUUUUUUCUUUAAUCACUAAUCAUUAAAACUUACAUCUUUUUGGUUAAUCAAUUUUCAAUUUCUUAUUUGCUUGGUGAUUAACUUAAAUUCUGGUGGAUCAGUGAAACUUAAUCAAUAUCAUCUUGGUGAUUACAAUUUAUUUUGUUUAAAUUGUCAUUUGUUUUCCUUUUGGAUCCAUAGGGAUAAUUUUAUUUACACUUUUGUAUUUUAUGAGGAAAGUUAAUUACGAUUGAAUUGUAUUCCCAUUGAAUUGGAAUGGUGAUUUGGAUCCAUCGUUGCUGUUUAAUGAUUAAUCAUCAAUGAUUUAACCUGUUCCGAUGAAAACAAUAGGUUAUCCUGAUGAUCAUCACAAUCAUAAUGAUCAUUUGUCUACCACCAUUGUCAAUUAUUCAGCUGUCAUUACAUUUGUUCAAUAUGAAUUUAGUCAAUUCUAUUGUAUAAAUCAUGAUUUAUUACAGAAAAUGAGUAAUCAUCUCUUCAGGCAAUCAAUGGCGUUUUCUUCAUCACCAAAACAACCUUAUUAAAUCGAUAUUAUUAAGAUUUUAAUUGCUUCUCAUGAUCAUAUCAGAUAAUCAUCUUGAUCGUCAUCAACAACAAUCAAUCAAAACUUUCAGUUUGCUCCAAAAACAAUUCACUUUGAGUAAUUUUAUCCUCAUCAUUUGUAUUUCUUGAUAAUGAUUAUAUAUAAAUUCCUCCAAAAUUUAUUUAAUUCAAUAGGACAACAACAGUUAAUUACUGUUAAAUUACCUUUGUACAAAUCAAUAUAUUACAAUGAUUUUAACAAAAGAUUACAAUUAGUUGAUUGUGAUUGGAAUUACAAUUUACACGAAACCAAAUGACGAUGAUUUCUCAAGUGGGAAAGACAAUUUAGAGUACGAAGCUU